RNAcentral lists this transfer RNA (63 nucleotides) under Xya japonica. RNAcentral describes it as "tRNA-Gly". The record is from RNAcentral. Lineage: Eukaryota; Metazoa; Arthropoda; Insecta; Orthoptera; Tridactylidae.
AUUUUUUUGAUGAUAAAUUAUAUUUAACUUCCAAUUAAAAAGAUUGAUAUUUCAAAAGAAAUA